CCUACGGGAGGCAGCAGUGGGGAAUAUUGGACAAUGGGCGCAACUCUGACCCAGCAACGCCGCGUGAGUGAAGAAGGCUUUCGGGUUGUAAACCUCUAUUCUCAGGGACGAAGAAAGUGACGGUACCUGAGGAAUAAGCCACGGCUAACUACGUGCCAGCAGCCGCGGUAAUACGUGGGGGGCAAGCGUUAUCCGGAUUUACUGGGUGUAAAGGGAGUGUAGGCGGGACUGCAAGUCAGAUGUGAAAACCACGGGCUCAACCUGUGGACUGCAUUUGAAACUGUAGUUCUGGAGUGCUGGAGAGGCAGACGGAAUUCCUAGUGUAGCGGUGAAAUGCGUAGAUAUUAGGAGGAACACCAGUGGCGAAGGCGGUCUGCUGGACAGCAACUGACGCUGAGGCGCGAAAGCGUGGGGAGCAAACAGGAUUAGAUACCCUGGUAGUC
Molecule: ribosomal RNA, 443 nt
Filed under: uncultured bacterium
Lineage: Bacteria
Description: partial 16S ribosomal RNA
Rfam family: Bacterial small subunit ribosomal RNA
Source: RNAcentral